CUAUGGCAUAUUGUGUCAUGGCGGAAGGAG
RNAcentral lists this non-coding RNA (30 nucleotides) under unclassified sequences. RNAcentral describes it as "L31-Firmicutes ribosomal protein leader". It matches the Rfam family "L31-Firmicutes ribosomal protein leader". The record is from RNAcentral.